Sinocyclocheilus grahami is the source of this 499-nucleotide long non-coding RNA. RefSeq lists it as uncharacterized. Lineage: Eukaryota; Metazoa; Chordata; Actinopteri; Cypriniformes; Cyprinidae. The record is from RefSeq and is a predicted model, not a curated record. The transcript has 4 exons.
GUUUCUUCAAGAAGCCCUGAUGCAAGUAAAAGCACUUUAAUCCAAGCCCAGCAGUAUCUGAUUGACCAUCUGAAGGAGCUCUGUUGAAACAUUUUGGAGGUGGGGCACAACCAACGCAACCAGGCCCAAGUGCCAGUGUUACAGCUGAUGAUACAGCAGAUCCAGCCUCUGCAGGUGAGGAGCACUUACUAGCAUCUGCAUCCACGGAUCCUGCUGUUCCUUCCAUGUCUGUUUCAACCUCCGCAGAUGUAGCAGGUCAUUCUACUUGUGGUCAUUGGGAUCUAUCACAUCUACUCCUUCAACUUUCAGCCUACACUAUGGAUCAGAAGCUCCUCCAUUUGACCCAGCUGAGUGGUCAUCUAUCCUGUCUUAGUCAGAAAGGACUGAUCUGGUAAGCAGAGGGUCACUGCCUAAAAAGGAAAACUUCACAUUCCCUAAAUCUGAUGGUCGAAGCUUCCACUACACCUACAGGCAAUUAAUUAAUGGGGGGGGGGGGAAA